GUUAAUUGAAUUUUACAUAUAUUUAAAUAUAUAUAAAUAUAUACCAUGUUUUGUGGCAUUGCACCCUAAACACACUCAGGAUUAGGGUUAGGAUUAGGAUUAGGGUUAGGAUUAGGAUUACGAUUAGGGUUAGGAUUAGGGUUAGGGGUUCGAUUAGGAUUAGGAUUUGGUAGGAUUAGGGAUUAGGAUUAGGAUUAGGAUUAGGGUUAGGAUUAGGGUUAGGAUCAGGGUUACGAUUAGGGUUAGGAUUAGGGUUAGGAUUAGGGUUAGGAUCAGGUUAGGAUUAGGGUUAGGAUGAGGAUUAGGAUUAGUGUCAUGGAAUCUAUAUUGAUGUGUCUGACGUCCUGUGUACUAACCCGUGACGUAUACUGGAUAUUACUUGGUGUUAUUUUGUU
Molecule: long non-coding RNA, 395 nt
Organism: Ictalurus punctatus (channel catfish)
Lineage: Eukaryota; Metazoa; Chordata; Actinopteri; Siluriformes; Ictaluridae
Source: Ensembl